UACGUAGGGGGCGAGCGUUGUCCGGAAUUACUGGGCGUAAAGGGAGCGUAGGCGGUCGAUUAAGUUAGAUGUGAAACCCCCGGGCUUAACUUGGGGACUGCAUCUAAUACUGGUUGACUUAGAGUACAGGAGAGGGAAGCGGAAUUCCUAGUGUAGCGGUGAAAUGCGUAGAUAUUAGGAGGAACACCAGUGGCGAAGGCUGCUUACUGGACGAUAACUGACGCUGAGGCUCGAAAGCGUGGGGAGCAAA
This 250-nucleotide ribosomal RNA is filed under the name uncultured bacterium. RNAcentral's name for it is "partial 16S ribosomal RNA". It matches the Rfam family "Bacterial small subunit ribosomal RNA", at positions 524 to 772 of the family's 1533-position model. The record is from RNAcentral.